This 555-nucleotide ribosomal RNA is filed under the name Trigonopterus inflatus. RNAcentral's name for it is "partial 16S ribosomal RNA". The record is from RNAcentral. Lineage: Eukaryota; Metazoa; Arthropoda; Insecta; Coleoptera; Curculionidae.
AGAUAGAAACCACCUGGCUCACACCGGUCUAAACUCAGAUCAUGUAAAAUUUUAAAGGUCGAACAGACCUAAGAACUCAGCUUCUUCACCAAGUCUAAAUUUUAAUCCAACAUCGAGGUCGCAAACUUUUUAAUCGAUAAGAACUCUAUAAAAAAUUACGCUGUUAUCCCUAAGGUAAUUUAAUCUUAUAAUCUUUAAUCAAGGAUCAAAAACUCACACAUCAGUGUUAAUCUUUCAAAAAAAGUUAAACAAAUUUUUCUAUCACCCCAAUAAAAUAAAUUAUCCAAUAAAUAGUUUCCUAGCCCAAAAACCAAAUCACUAAAUAAAAUAUAAAACUCUACAGGGUCUUCUCGUCUUCUAUUAUUAUUUAAGCUUUUUAACUUAAAAAUAAAAUUCUAUGAAACUUCUAUAGAGACAGAAAUCUUUUCAUCAAACCCUUCAUACGAGUUUCCAUUUAAGAAACUAAUGAUUAUGCUACCUUUGUACAGUCAAAAUACCGCAGCCAUUUAGAUCCUCCAUUGGGCAGGCCAGACCUGAAAUUAUAAUCAACAAGCC